This 861-nucleotide ribosomal RNA is filed under the name uncultured bacterium. RNAcentral's name for it is "bacterial SSU rRNA". The stretch from base 65 to 575 matches the Rfam family "Bacterial small subunit ribosomal RNA", at positions 37 to 537 of the family's 1533-position model. The record is from RNAcentral.
AACANCGAUCNCGCUGUAAUGCAUCUAGAUUAAAGUUGAUCUUGAGCUCACACUGAGCCGCUUAUCGUGACAGCUUAACACAUGCAAGUCGAGCGGGGAAGGGUAGCUUGCUACCUGACCUAGCGGCGGACGGGUAGAGUAAUGCUUAGGAAUCUGCCUAUUAGUGGGGGACAACAUCUCGAAAGGGAUGCUAAUACCGCAUACGUCCUACGGGAGAAAGCAGGGGAUCUUCGGACCUUGCGCUAAUAGAUGAGCCUAAGUCGGAUUAGCUAGUUGGUGGGGUAAAGGCCUACCAAGGCGACGAUCUGUAGCGGGUCUGAGAGGAUGAUCCUGCACACUGGGACUGAGACACGGCCCAGACUCCUACGGGAGGCAGCAGUGGGGAAUAUUGGACAAUGGGGGGAACCCUGAUCCAGCCAUGCCGCGUGUGUGAAGAAGGCCUUAUGGUUUGUUAAAAGCACUUUAAGCGAGGAGGAGGCUACUUUAGUUAAUACCUAGAGAUAGUGGACGUUACUCGCAGAAUAAGCACCGGCUAACUCUGUGCCAGCAAGNCCGCGGUAAUACANAGGGUGCAAGCGUUAAAUUCGCGAUUUAACUGGGGCCGUAAAAAGUCGCGCCUUAAAAGGGGGUAAAUUAAAGUCCACAUUGGUGAAUUCCCGGAGAUUAACUUGGGANNUGGNAUUCGAAACUCGGUUAGUCAAAUGUUUGACAAAGGAUGGUAAANUCCNGGUUUAGGNAAUUGGUUAANAUUUGGGAGAUACCNUNGGAAAGGAUUUGUUAAUAUAUCAGAAUUUGUGANCGGUUAACNUAGUNUUUUAUUUUUANUUGGGUUUAUUUGCUUUUAUAANCGGGUAAAUUGGC